CAACAAGCACACGCAGGGCCUCUUCCGGCGGAAGGUGUCCAUCGCCAACAUGCUGGCCUGGAGCAGCGAGUCCAUCAAGAAGCCCAUGAUCGUGACAAGCGACCGGCACGUGAAGAAGGAGGCCUGCGAGCUCUUCAAGCUGAUCCAGAUGUACAUGGGUGACCGGCGGGCCAAGGCCGACCCACUGCACGUGGCCCUGGAGGUGGCCACCAAGGGCUGGAGCGUGCAGGGCCUGCGGGACGAGCUCUACAUCCAGCUGUGCCGGCAGACCACCGAGAACUUCCGCCUGGAGAGCCUGGCCCGCGGCUGGGAGCUCAUGGCCAUCUGCCUGGCCUUUUUCCCGCCCACCCCCAAGUUCCACUCCUACCUGGAAGGCUACAUCUACCGGCACAUGGACCCCGUCAAUGACACUAAAGAGGGGCCUGGGAAUGUCGUGCCUGAGCUGGAGGCUAUGGAGCUGAGCCCCCACUGCUCAGCACAGCAUGCAGCCCACAGUGGGUACCCCCGAGAGUAGUGACACAGCACAUAAAAGAGCUCCUGGAAAGAAACACUAAGAAGAAGUCCAAAUUG
This 570-nucleotide long non-coding RNA is filed under the name Homo sapiens (human). RNAcentral describes it as "non-protein coding lnc-C8orf82-1:1". Lineage: Eukaryota; Metazoa; Chordata; Mammalia; Primates; Hominidae. The record is from RNAcentral.